This 248-nucleotide long non-coding RNA is filed under the name Ananas comosus (pineapple). RNAcentral's name for it is "long non-coding RNA (ACOM_LNC016894)". Lineage: Eukaryota; Viridiplantae; Streptophyta; Magnoliopsida; Poales; Bromeliaceae. The record is from RNAcentral.
ACUAUUUGCUUAGUUGCAUACCCUUUUGGUUAUAUAUCAUCUUUUGUACUUUGAUGAUUAGAGAUGUAUAAAGGAAGAAUAUAAAGAGUUUCUAUUUUGGAGAAAAUGUGAUGUAAAAAGAGAAGAAAUUAUGAAAAGAAUGUAAUGUGAAUGUAAAUGUAAGAGUUGUAUGUAUGUAUGUGAUUAAAAGUUAAUAAUUAUGCUUGUAUGGAUGUUUAGUUUAGAAUCUUUCACUUUUAGCUACCGCU